UUCUUUUUAGAAAUAUUUCAAUUUUCAUUUGGUUUAAUUUUUAAUCUAUAAUAGAAGAAGACAUGCACUUUUUGGAAAUAUAUUGAUCAAAUUUUGAAGUAAUUUUAAUUUGACAUUUAAAAUUUCUUGUUGAUUUACCAAUUCUCUUUGUAAAGAAAUACAAUUUAAUUCUAUAAAACUCGUAUAGAUUAUUGCAGAGUAAAAACACUGACUAUUAAGAAAUGUUUUCCUUUAUCUUUGAUGUUUGAGCUUUUCAACAAAUAAUUUAAAAUAAGACUUAUACUAAAAUAUAUUUUCAUUGAAUAUACAAUUUUAAAAAGAUGAAAUAAGAAAGUUCUAAAAUAUUUUAUGUUAAAUUAGAAAUAAAAAUUUAAGUUACGAUUUUAUAUUUUUUGGACUGUAGU
This 404-nucleotide long non-coding RNA is filed under the name Physcomitrium patens. RNAcentral describes it as "long non-coding RNA (PPAT_LNC000728)". The record is from RNAcentral. Lineage: Eukaryota; Viridiplantae; Streptophyta; Bryopsida; Funariales; Funariaceae.